This 253-nucleotide ribosomal RNA is filed under the name uncultured bacterium. Its description in RNAcentral is "partial 16S ribosomal RNA". It matches the Rfam family "Bacterial small subunit ribosomal RNA", at positions 524 to 776 of the family's 1533-position model. The record is from RNAcentral.
UACGGAGGGAGCUAGCGUUGUUCGGAAUUACUGGGCGUAAAGCGCGCGUAGGCGGCUUUGUAAGUUAGAGGUGAAAGCCCGGGGCUCAACUCCGGAACUGCCUUUAAAACUGCAUCGCUUGAAUCCGGGAGAGGUGAGUGGAAUUCCGAGUGUAGAGGUGAAAUUCGUAGAUAUUCGGAAGAACACCAGUGGCGAAGGCGGCUCACUGGACCGGCAUUGACGCUGAGGUGCGAAAGCGUGGGGAGCAAACAGG